UGGGGGAAUAUUGGGCAAUGGGCGAAAGCCUGACCCAGCAACGCCGCGUGAGGGAAGAAGGGUUUCGGCUCGUAAACCUCUGUCCUAUGGGACGAAGGAAGUGACGGUACCAUAGGAGGAAGCCCCGGCUAACUACGUGCCAGCAGCCGCGGUAAUACGUAGGGGGCGAGCGUUGUCCGGAAUGAUUGGGCGUAAAGGGCGCGUAGGCGGCCUGAUAAGUCUGGAGUGAAAGUCCUGCUUUCAAGGUGGGAAUUGCUUUGGAUACUGUUGGGCUGGAGUGCAGGAGAGGAAAGCGGAAUUACCGGUGUAGCGGUGAAAUGCGUAGAGAUCGGGUAGAACACCGGUGGCGAAGGCGAGUAUCUGGCUGUAAAUUGACGCUGAGGCACGAAAGCAUGGGGAUCAAACAGGAUUAGAUACCCUGGUAGU
Molecule: ribosomal RNA, 426 nt
Filed under: uncultured bacterium
Lineage: Bacteria
Description: bacterial SSU rRNA
Rfam family: Bacterial small subunit ribosomal RNA
Source: RNAcentral